This 568-nucleotide ribosomal RNA is filed under the name uncultured archaeon. RNAcentral's name for it is "bacterial SSU rRNA". It matches the Rfam family "Archaeal small subunit ribosomal RNA", at positions 326 to 899 of the family's 1478-position model. The record is from RNAcentral.
CGGGGUGCACCAGGCGCGAAACCUUUACAAUGCGGGCAACCGCGAUAAGGGGAUCUCGAGUGCCGACAUCUAAUGUCGGCUGUCGUGAUGCCUAAAAAGCAUUAUAUAGUAAGGGCCGGGCAAGACCGGUGCCAGCCGCCGCGGUAACACCGGCGGCUCGAGUGGUGACCGCUAUUAUUGGGUUUAAAGGGUCUGUAGCCGGCCGGAUUAGUCUCUUGGGAAAUCUGGCCGCUUAACGGUCAGGCUUUCAGGAGAUACUGUCUGGCUCGAGGCCGGGAGAGGUGAGAGGUACUUCAGGGGUAGGGGUGAAAUCUUGUAAUCCUUGAAGGACCACCAGUGGCGAAGGCGUCUCACCAAAACGGACCUGACGGCAAGGGACGAAAGCUAGGGGCACGAACCGGAUUAGAUACCCGGGUAGUCCUAGCCGUAAACGAUACUCGCUAGGUGUCGGCCGCGGUGCGACCGUGGUCGGUGCCGUAGGGAAACCGUGAAGCGAGCCACCUGGGAAGUACGGCCGCAAGGCUGAAACUUAAAGGAAUUGGCGGGGGAGCACAAGGGCGAAUUCGCG